AGUGAACGCUGGCGGUAGGCCUAACACAUGCAAGUCGAACGGCAGCACAGUAAGCGCUUGCUCUUAAGGUUGGCGAGUGGCGGAUGGGUGACGCAUACAUCGGAAUCUACUUUUUCGUGGGGGAUAACGUAGGGAAACUUACGCUAAUACCGCAUACGUCCUACGGGUGAAAGCAGGAGAUCUUCGGACCUUGCGCGAUUGAAUGAGCCGAUGUCGGAUUAGCUAGUUGGCGGGGUAAAGGCCCACCAAGGCGACGAUCCGUAGCUGGUCUGAGAGGAUGAUCAGCCACACUGGAACUGAGACACGGUCCAGACUCCUACGGGAGGCAGCAGUGGGGAAUAUUGGACAAUGGGCGCAAGCCUGAUCCAGCCAUACCGCGUGGGUGAAGAAGGCCUUCGGGUUGUAAAGCCCUUUUGUUGGGAAAGAAAAGCAGCAGGUUAAUACCCCGCCGUUCUGACGGUACCCAAAGAAUAAGCACCGGCUAACUUCGUG
This 492-nucleotide ribosomal RNA is filed under the name uncultured bacterium. Its description in RNAcentral is "partial 16S ribosomal RNA". It matches the Rfam family "Bacterial small subunit ribosomal RNA", at positions 29 to 507 of the family's 1533-position model. The record is from RNAcentral.